This 89-nucleotide microRNA precursor is filed under the name Nomascus leucogenys (northern white-cheeked gibbon). RNAcentral describes it as "miRNA (ENSNLEG00000030491.1)". Lineage: Eukaryota; Metazoa; Chordata; Mammalia; Primates; Hylobatidae. The record is from RNAcentral.
CUAGUCUGCUAGUCUGGACUGAUAUGGUUAGCUUUUUUAUUUUUUUGAGAUGGAGUCUGGCUCCGUUGCCCAGGCUGGUGUACAGUGGC